RNAcentral lists this ribosomal RNA (1038 nucleotides) under Salmonella enterica subsp. enterica serovar Stanley. RNAcentral describes it as "partial 23S ribosomal RNA". It matches the Rfam family "Bacterial large subunit ribosomal RNA", at positions 598 to 1637 of the family's 2925-position model. The record is from RNAcentral. Lineage: Bacteria; Pseudomonadati; Pseudomonadota; Gammaproteobacteria; Enterobacterales; Enterobacteriaceae.
UGCGUACCUUUUGUAUAAUGGGUCAGCGACUUAUAUUCUGUAGCAAGGUUAACCGAAUAGGGGAGCCGGAGGGAAACCGAGUCUUAAUUGGGCGUUAAGUUGCAGGGUAUAGACCCGAAACCCGGUGAUCUAGCCAUGGGCAGGUUGAAGGUUGGGUAACACUAACUGGAGGACCGAACCGACUAAUGUUGAAAAAUUAGCGGAUGACCUGUGGCUGGGGGUGAAAGGCCAAUCAAACCGGGAGAUAGCUGGUUCUCCCCGAAAGCUAUUUAGGUAGCGCCUCGUGAAUUCAUCUCCGGGGGUAGAGCACUGUUUCGGCUAGGGGGCCAUCCCGGCUUACCAACCCGAUGCAAACUGCGAAUACCGGAGAAUGUUAUCACGGGAGACACACGGCGGGUGCUAACGUCCGUCGUGAAGAGGGAAACAACCCAGACCGCCAGCUAAGGUCCCAAAGUCAUGGUUAAGUGGGAAACGAUGUGGGAAGGCCCAGACAGCCAGGAUGUUGGCUUAGAAGCAGCCAUCAUUUAAAGAAAGCGUAAUAGCUCACUGGUCGAGUCGGCCUGCGCGGAAGAUGUAACGGGGCUAAACCAUGCACCGAAGCUGCGGCAGCGACACUGUGUGUUGUUGGGUAGGGGAGCGUUCUGUAAGCCUGUGAAGGUGUGUCGUGAGGCAUGCUGGAGGUAUCAGAAGUGCGAAUGCUGACAUAAGUAACGAUAAAGCGGGUGAAAAGCCCGCUCGCCGGAAGACCAAGGGUUCCUGUCCAACGUUAAUCGGGGCAGGGUGAGUCGACCCCUAAGGCGAGGCCGAAAGGCGUAGUCGAUGGGAAACGGGUUAAUAUUCCCGUACUUGGUGUUACUGCGAAGGGGGGACGGAGAAGGCUAUGUUGGCCGGGCGACGGUUGUCCCGGUUUAAGCGUGUAGGUGUGUGUUCCAGGUAAAUCCGGUUCACUUUAACACUGAGGCGUGACGACGAGGCACUACGGUGCUGAAGCAACAAAUGCCCUGCUUCCAGGAAAAGCCUCUAAGCAUCAGGUAACAU